Molecule: ribosomal RNA, 383 nt
Filed under: uncultured bacterium
Lineage: Bacteria
Description: bacterial SSU rRNA
Rfam family: Bacterial small subunit ribosomal RNA
Source: RNAcentral
GACGAACGCUGGCGGCGUGCUUAACACAUGCAAGUCGAGCGGUAAGGCCCUUUCGGGGGUACACGAGCGGCGAACGGGUGAGUAACACGUGGGUGACCUGCCUUUAGCUCUGGGAUAAGCCUGGGAAACUGGGUCUAAUACCGGAUAUGACUCCAUGAUGCAUGUUGUGGGGUGGAAAGCCUUGUGCGGCUGGAGAUGGGCCCGCGGCCUAUCAGCUUGUUGGUGGGGUGANGGCCUACCAAGGCGACGACGGGUAGCCGGCCUGAGAGGGUGACCGGCCACACUGGGACUGAGACACGGCCCAGACUCCUACGGGAGGCAGCAGUGGGGAAUCUUGCGCAAUGGGCGAAAGCCUGACGCAGCGACGCCGCGUGAGGGAUGAC